Empidonax traillii (willow flycatcher) is the source of this 514-nucleotide long non-coding RNA. RefSeq lists it as uncharacterized. The transcript has 3 exons. NCBI's taxonomy places the organism in Eukaryota, Metazoa, Chordata, Aves, Passeriformes, Tyrannidae. The record is from RefSeq and is a predicted model, not a curated record.
AUCUACAUCAGACACCUUCAGAGCUUAGGGAGAAAUGUGCUGAGGGAGAGAAAGGAAGGACAGAUAUCUGGAAUACAGAGGAAAAGCAUCUAAUCAGAAAUAACAGCUCUCAUCAGGCACAGACAAUAGACAGCAAACUGGCUUCAGGAAAGCUAUUCAGGCAUCGUGGGAGCUAAAUCAACAGACACAAGUGCUUUCUCUUAGGAGGAUGCUCGUGACAGUUUGAUUACUUGGAACCUGAGGUGAAAAUGCCCAAACAAAAAUGAUCAGUUAACACAGAGGAAAAUCAGCAGCACAUUAAAAAUAAGAAAACCAAGGGAGUUUUUGUGAAGGACACAAUUGCGUGUUCACGUGUUGCUGAAAUGCAGAGGGAGAGAGGCUGCAUGUAGCUGCUGCUGCAAACUGAGCCCAGGGUACAUGCGUUCCAUCUAUGCCAUUGCAUGCCCAUGGCAUGAUGGGCUGCACUGCUGGGAUUGCUGGAGGAGUCCUGUGGAAGAGAAGUCCUCAGGCCUUG